Molecule: transfer-messenger RNA, 361 nt
Filed under: Gaiellaceae
Lineage: Bacteria; Bacillati; Actinomycetota; Thermoleophilia; Gaiellales
Also listed under: 1 other name
Description: JACVRR01 sp014534345 Standard tmRNA
Rfam family: transfer-messenger RNA
About the family: Bacterial tmRNA, also known as 10Sa RNA or SsrA, is named for its dual tRNA and mRNA-like properties. Its role is to liberate the mRNA from a stalled ribosome. To accomplish this part of the tmRNA is used as a reading frame that ends in a translation stop signal.
Source: RNAcentral
GGGGGCGACCAGGUCUCGACGUGGUCGGUUCUCCGGCGGAGCUGCAAGCCGAGGUCUCCGGUUGGCCUCGUAAAACAACCGGAAGCAAAAGCAAGUGCGGAUAACGAACUCGCACUCGCCGCCUAACUAGCGUAGGCGGUCGCCGUCCCGGGUUGGGCCCGUGACCCGGAGCCGGCGCCAACGAACGGGCUCGGCGCAGAGGGAGAGCCAAUCGCCCGAAGCGCGACAGCGAAGGAUGGCUAGCCCGGCGGUAGGUCGGCUGUCCACCGGCCGGCGGGCGAAGCGCAAGGGCAGCCUAAGCUUGUAGACGCUUCGACCGGCGCGGCCGCGGACGCGGGUUCGAUUCCCGCCGCCUCCAUAC